GCGCCCCUAGCUCAGUUGGUUAGAGCAUCNNUAGAGCAUCUGACUUUUAAUCAGAGGGUCCUCGGUUCGAGCCCGAGGGGGCGUACCA
RNAcentral lists this transfer RNA (88 nucleotides) under Brevundimonas diminuta. RNAcentral's name for it is "tRNA-Lys". It matches the Rfam family "tRNA". From Rfam's summary of the family: Transfer RNA (tRNA) molecules are approximately 80 nucleotides in length. Their secondary structure includes four short double-helical elements and three loops (D, anti-codon, and T loops). The record is from RNAcentral. Lineage: Bacteria; Pseudomonadati; Pseudomonadota; Alphaproteobacteria; Caulobacterales; Caulobacteraceae.